CAGCACUGUAUGCAAAGAGUCACUGAAGAAACAUCUUAUAUGAAGACAAUUUUGAUGUUGAAUAACUGCGAGAACGGCCAUUGGAAAUGUUCUGGCUGAAAUUCUAGGAUUCAGAAAAUAGACGGAUGCUGAAGAUUUCACCUGACUGUUUCAUCCAAGGAAACCCCAGACAGCCUCAGGUGUCUGCUACCUGCAAGUAGAAAAAGCACGGGAAUUCCAGAAAAACAUCUACUUCUGCUUCACUGCCUACAUGAAAGACUUUGACUAUGCAGAUGAUAACAAACUGUGAAAAAUUCUUAAGAAAAUGGAAAUACCAGACCACCUCACCUAUCUCCUAAGAUACCUGUAUGCAGGUCAAGAAGC
This is a long non-coding RNA of Bos taurus (domestic cattle), 363 nucleotides long. The record is from Ensembl. Lineage: Eukaryota; Metazoa; Chordata; Mammalia; Artiodactyla; Bovidae.